RNAcentral lists this unclassified non-coding RNA (2920 nucleotides) under Neodiprion lecontei (redheaded pine sawfly). RNAcentral's name for it is "endophilin-B1, transcript variant X5". Lineage: Eukaryota; Metazoa; Arthropoda; Insecta; Hymenoptera; Diprionidae. The record is from RNAcentral.
CUGCGGAUCGAUAGUGUAUGCACUAUAUUGCAUACAUAUAGAUACACGAUAUUAUAAGGCACGUCCAGGCUGCUCCUGCAGAUAUUAUAGUGAUAAUAAUAAUAAAUUGAUUUUCAAACGUAGAAACAAUGGAUUUCAACGUUAAAAAAUUGGUUAAAGAUGCUGGAACCGCGCUCAGCAGAGUUGUGCAGCUCACCGAGGAGAAGCUCGGAACAUCUGAGAAAACCGAGCUGGAUGCUCACUUUGAAUUCCUCGCUGACAGAGCAGAUGCGACUAAAACUUGGACUGAGAAAAUCCUCAAGAAUACAGAGGCAAUGCUCACACCAAAUCCAGGCAACAGAAUCGAGGAUUUCUUCUUUGAAAAAAUCGACAAAAAAAAGCCAAACCGACUCAGCAACUUGGAAUAUGUUGGCAUUGACAUGAUCGAAGCUGGGAAUGACUUUGGUCCUGGAACUGCUUACGGUGGGGCACUGAUCAAAGUUGGGCAAUGUCAACAGAAAUUGGGGCAGAUAGAGAGAGAUUUCAUCGGCACAGCGGCAAACUGCUAUGUUCAACCGUUGAGGAAGUUUUUGGAUGGAGACAUGAAGACUAUCAGCAAAGAGCGAACAAUUCUAGAAACCAAACGGCUUGAUUUGGAUGCUUCCAAAAAUAGAGUUCGAAAAGCGAGGAGCAUGCUGGGUCAACAGAGCGAAUCUGGCGUUUCUCCUGAAGUUUUACUCGAUCAGGCAGAAAGGGAGCUAAGAGUAGCGCAGUCCGAAUUCGAUCGGCAAUCCGAGAUUACGAAGUUCUUGUUGGAAGGAGUAUCCAGUUCGCAGGCAGGCCACCUUCGCUGUUUACAUGAGUUCGUUGAGGCGCAGGCUCGCCAUUAUGCUCAGUGUCACGCAGCGAUGCAAGACUUGCAGCGAGAGCUGGCUGGCAUGUCCGGAGCAACCUUCCACCCGUCCACCCCACCGUCUCCUUCCGCACCGGCGGAGAACGGCCAGGAACGAGCUCGAGUGAUCUGUGACUACGAUGCGAGGGAUCCGAGUGAAUUGAGCCUGAUGCAAGAUGAGGUGAUUUGUGUAUCUAAGAUUCCUGGGGAUGGAGAUUAUCUGAUGGGAGUUAGAGGCAAUCAGCGAGGCAAAGUACCCAAGGCUUUUCUGGAACCAAUUGUAGCUUCCUAAUAAGUAAUUCCGCUUGUUUAUAGCUUGAACUGUUGCAACAGUUUGAAAAUCGAUGAAAAACAAAACAUAAGGUUGUCAGGAUUAUUAACCACUUCUUUUUUAAUCCAAAAAAAUUUACAAUGUCAUUGUAAAAUCUUGAAGAGGCAAUCAGAUUUUCUAACGUGGCUUUAACAUUCGAAGUUUAACGGAUUCUAACUUCGGAACGGUAGAGAUAUCAAGAAACUAAACAACACAGGUGAUUGUCUUUCAGAUAACUACAAUAUAUUGAGAUUACAAUAAAAUUGGGAAUGGUGACUGUCCGAUGUUUGGUUCAACUGCAAAUGUAUGUUUUGAAAUUGCAAUUGUUGUAUAAUAUUCAGACAAAUAGUUUUAAGCAUUUUGCAUAGUGCCUAUGUGGCUAAUGAGCGACAAUGUGUAUUGUACCAAUUAGUAGAGAAUUCGAUAGAUGUAGGGGAUUUGUGGUUCUGAAUUUUUUUCAAAUCCAAAACAAAUCGUAUUGCAACUUAUUGCUACAUUCUAUUUUGUAUAUUUGGUUUAGUACCGACAUAUUGAUAGAUCAAUUAUUUAUUAACUAAUAUAUUAUGUUGCCUAUUAUUUUUAACAUAUUGAGCUUGUCUAUUCGGUUUAAACGAGCGGUGUGUAUAAUGAAAAUUUAACGUAAAAUAUUGAUAAUCAACAUAUUUUGAAAGUCGGUUGUGGUCAGAUAAUUUUUAAUCAAGACAAGCAACGGGCUUAGCUAACUGUUUCAAUCGAACAGUCAAACUAAUAAGGAGUGCUGUUACUUGUUUCAUUUUUUUUUUCAUGGUCGUUGUAAAAACAUUACUCCUUGAAAAUUUGCAGAAAUAAGAGAAUGUUCUAACGGUUUCAAAGAGAUUUUCAGUAAAUUCACCUGUUUUCUGAAUGUUUCAACAUAUGAGAAUAAAUCCUGAAAUAUCAAAACAUCAUGGGUAUUAGUGAAUAACUAGAACAGGGUUGAUCCCUGACAUGUACAUAAAUUAAAACAAAUUAUUCCAAUAAUCUUAAUUCUUCAAUAAUCAGUAGAUUCCAAGGGCGGUGCGUCGUUAUUACACACUGUUUGUCAGAUAUUUGGAGUGAAUAAUAUUGAAGAAUACGCCCAAUUUUUAGAAAAUGCGCUUAUAAUAUGUACAAUAAAUUUAGAUAUAGUGAUCCACAUUUCUGCAAUAACUUCGUCAAUACAAUAAAUUAUAUUAUAUUAUAAUGUUAAAUCGAUUUCUCAUUACUUAAUUGUAAUAAGGUGAUAACUAAGUAACCAUGUUAAAAUUAUUACCCUGUUAAAGUUUAAGUAUAAAUCUACAAUAUAAUGAUGCAAUUAUUAUGUAUAUGGUUACUAUAUUAAAUAUACACAUUUGCUGAUGUUGGGAAGUUCAAUACUCAGUUUGUGAGUUGAAUUGAAAUAGUUACAAAUCGCUCCGACAAGAUCAAAAAACUUCUCUGAAAUCUUUUAGGUAUAUACUAUUUUACCGGAAAGUUCUGAGAAAGAUUCCCUAUUAGUUCUGGCAAACUUUGAAUUCUUUUGAUAAAUUCGGAGGAUUAUCAAAAAAUUCUAAAAAAUUCUAAAAAUCCAUAAUACGAGUUUUCCUCUUUCUGCCCAUUUAUGAUCAAUGAAUCGAGUUAGAGGUAACAAUUGCACCAAUUUCUUGAGAGAACUGGUAUUUUUCUGAACUUCAUUCCAUAUCUGAAAACUGAGAUAAUCUGAGUUUUCGUAUUUUUGCGUAUUUUCCGACAGUACCACGUUA